GCGUCCGUAGCUCAUCCGGAUAGAGCGUAAGACUCCGACUCUUAAGGCGGCAGGUUCGAGCCCUGUCGGACGCGCCA
This 77-nucleotide transfer RNA is filed under the name Clostridiales bacterium. RNAcentral's name for it is "tRNA-Arg". It matches the Rfam family "tRNA". Rfam says of the family: Transfer RNA (tRNA) molecules are approximately 80 nucleotides in length. Their secondary structure includes four short double-helical elements and three loops (D, anti-codon, and T loops). The record is from RNAcentral. Lineage: Bacteria; Bacillati; Bacillota; Clostridia; Eubacteriales.